UUUCGGAGAGUUUGAUCCUGGCUCAGGACGAACGCUGGCGGCGUGCCUAAUACAUGCAAGUCGAGCGGAUUGAUGGGAGCUUGCUCCCUGAAAUCAGCGGCGGACGGGUGAGUAACACGUGGGUAACCUGCCUGUAAGACUGGGAUAACUCCGGGAAACCGGGGCUAAUACCGGAUAGUUCUUUUCCUCGCAUGAGGAAAAGUKGAAAGGCGGCUUCGGCUGCCACUUACAGAUGGACCCGCGGCGCAUUAGCUAGUUGGUGAGGUAACGGCUCACCAAGGCAACGAUGCGUAGCCGACCUGAGAGGGUGAUCGGCCACACUGGGACUGAGACACGGCCCAGACUCCUACGGGAGGCAGCAGUAGGGAAUCUUCCGCAAUGGACGAAAGUCUGACGGAGCAACGCCGCGUGAGUGAUGAAGGUUUUCGGAUCGUAAAGCUCUGUUGUUAGGGAAGAACAAGUGCCGUUCGAAUAGGGCGGCAC
RNAcentral lists this ribosomal RNA (483 nucleotides) under Rossellomorea vietnamensis. Its description in RNAcentral is "bacterial SSU rRNA". It matches the Rfam family "Bacterial small subunit ribosomal RNA", at positions 1 to 478 of the family's 1533-position model. Lineage: Bacteria; Bacillati; Bacillota; Bacilli; Caryophanales; Bacillaceae. The record is from RNAcentral.